UGGGGAAUAUUGCGCAAUGGGCGAAAGCCUGACGCAGCGACGCCGCGUGAGGGAUGAAGGUCUUCGGAUCGUAAACCUCUGUCAGAAGGGAAGAAUGGUACAGGUGCUAAUCAGCUUGUAUUUGACGGUACCUUCAAAGGAAGCACCGGCUAACUCCGUGCCAGCAGCCGCGGUAAUACGGAGGGUGCGAGCGUUAAUCGGAAUUACUGGGCGUAAAGCGCACGUAGGCUGUUACUUAAGUCAGGGGUGAAAUCCCACGGCUCAACCGUGGAACUGCCUUUGAAACUGGGUGACUGGAGUGUGUGAGAGGGUAGUGGAAUUCCUGGUGUAGGAGUGAAAUCCGUAGAUAUCAGGAGGAACAUCAGUGGCGAAGGCGACUGCCUGGCACAUAACUGACGCUGAGGUGCGAAAGCGUGGGUAGCAAACA
Molecule: ribosomal RNA, 427 nt
Filed under: uncultured Desulfovibrionales bacterium
Lineage: Bacteria; Pseudomonadati; Thermodesulfobacteriota; Desulfovibrionia; Desulfovibrionales
Description: partial 16S ribosomal RNA
Rfam family: Bacterial small subunit ribosomal RNA
Source: RNAcentral